Molecule: ribosomal RNA, 309 nt
Filed under: uncultured bacterium
Lineage: Bacteria
Description: partial 16S ribosomal RNA
Rfam family: Bacterial small subunit ribosomal RNA
Source: RNAcentral
AGGGACAGCAGUAGCCGCGGUAAUACGAGGGGGGCAAGCGUUGUUCGGAAUUAUUGGGCGUAAAGGGCGCGUAGGCGGUUUGACAAGUCUGAUGUGAAAUCUCUGGGCUCAACCCAGAGUCUGCAUCGGAAACUGUCGAGCUUGAGUAUGGGAGAGGUGAGUGGAAUUUCCGGUGUAGCGGUGAAAUGCGUAGAUAUCGGAAGAACACCAGUGGCGAAGGCGACUGACUGGACAAGUAUUGACGCUGAGGUGCGAAAGCGUGGGGAGCAAACAGGAUUAGAGACCCCUGUAGUCCUGUCCUUAUACACA